AUCGAGCUGACGAGUCCCAAAUAGGACGAAAUGCGCGUCCUGAAU
Molecule: non-coding RNA, 45 nt
Organism: Schistosoma haematobium
Lineage: Eukaryota; Metazoa; Platyhelminthes; Trematoda; Strigeidida; Schistosomatidae
Source: Rfam